Coffea arabica (coffee) is the source of this 1882-nucleotide RNA transcript. It is a transcript of the gene named OVARIAN TUMOR DOMAIN-containing deubiquitinating enzyme 7-like, with no coding region annotated. NCBI's taxonomy places the organism in Eukaryota, Viridiplantae, Streptophyta, Magnoliopsida, Gentianales, Rubiaceae. The record is from RefSeq and is a predicted model, not a curated record.
ACCUUGAUUGAAAUGCUCUGAUUAAAACCCUAAUGCUCUUUAGUUUUCUAAUUCCAUAUUUUUUUUUUGUUUUUUCUCCUAAUUUGUGGGAACAGAUAAAAAAGGCUGGAAAGCAAGCUGAUAUAUCUGAAUUUAAGCAGCAGCUGGAUGCUUUGGGCCUAAAAAUAAUUCAAGUCACUGCAGAUGGUAAUUGUUUCUUCAGUUGCUGUUUGGGCAGAGCAUUAGCGGAUCAAUUGGAAGGCAAUGAGGAAGAGCAUGAGAAAUAUCGGAAUAUGGUAGUCCGUUUUAUAAUGAAAAAUCGAGAAAUGUUCGAGCCUUUUAUUGAGGAUGAGGUACCAUUUGAUGAAUAUUGUCAGUCAAUGGAAAAGGAUGGGACUUGGGCAGGACAUAUGGAAUUGCAAGCUGCUUCGCUUGUCACUCAUUGUAAUAUAUGCAUUCACCGACAUAUUUCUCCUCGCUGGUACAUACAGAAUUUUGACAAUUGUGAAGCCAAAAUGAUCCAUCUUUCUUAUCAUGAUGGAGAGCAUUACAACAGUGUCAGAUCAAAGGAUGACACUUGUGCUGGACCAGCAAGGCCAAUUGUAAUCAAGGCUGAUGCUGAUCUUUCAGCGACAUCUCAUCACGCAAAAAGUGCCACCACGAAGUCAAUGGGAGACAUUGCUGGUAAUAAUGUUCAGCCAAGGUGUCUUAAAAUGGUCAUGACAGGAAGUGGAUGUGAAGAUGUUGAAAAGGUUAAAAAGGUUUUACAAGAAGUAGGUGGCGAUGAUGAUGCUGCAAUUGAGUAUCUAAUAGCUCAACAAAAUUCUGAAGAGAGUUUACAAGAAAAUGUUCAGCUUUAUAUUUCAGAAAACACUGUUCAUGGUGAGCAUGACAGUGAAAUACUUGAGCAGCAAAGCAUGCAAAAUGAAAAAAAGACAGGAAAUACACAAAUGACUCAGAUUGAGAAUAGCUUAUCGUUGGAUGACAAGAAAAUUCCAAGAAACAAGGCAUGCCCUUGUGGUUCAAAAAAGAAAUACAAGUCUUGCUGUGGAUCAGUUGCUGGAAAAUCUUCUGCUAGAUUUUCGGGAAAACAAUCAGUUGAUGAUGGCAAUGAUAGAAAAGACAAAAAGCAACGCAAGAAAGCACCAAAAAAUGUUUUGAAUCAUGAUCGAUCUGAAGGAGGGCUGCCUGAUAUGGGUGCACUUUGCAUAUGAGCUUCUUUUUUCAGGAGGGCUACCUGAUACGCGUGCACUUUGCAUAUGAGUUUCUUUUUCAGGUAUUUUGCCACUGCACUAUUUCUGUAUGAUUUAAUAGUGUCCAGUAACCUGUGUUGAAUAAUUCGAAGCGUUAGAGCUAAGCAUGCUGCUCAUGAAAAGAGUCCGUGUGCAUCCAGUUCCAAAUUUUUUGGAGUGUUGAUAUUUCUGAAUGUUAUUGAAGGAUGAUAAUUCCUGAGAGUAUCAUUUGUUCUAUCCAAGGUUCAUGAUGCGCUAAUUAAUUGGAAUAACUUGUAAUGCUUUGGGACCUCAGGACCAGUGAUAAUAAAGACUGAAUCUGGAUCACAAGUACCUUCGCUGGACAACAACGUAAGAAAGAGAUUGCUUAGCUGAUAGCGAGAUGUCUAUAGCAUUCCAGCCUUCAGAGGAAAAUGAAUCUAUCCCGCCAUUUGGCCCAAAUUCUGUUUUAUCCUGAUCUAGCCUUCUUCCCAAUGCCAAUAUCGCAUGAUUUUUUAUUUUUAUUUUUUUUGUGGAUUAUCUCACCUGGUAGAUUUCUUAUAUUCGUGAAACGACCUUCCCUCAUCGUUUCAUUUUCCAGGGGUAACAGAUGGUGUUGAAAUCUGAUGCACGGAGUUGAGGUGUACACUUCCUUUUGAGAAAUUUAUUAAACGCUUCUCUUUGCCCAUCUA